UAAGUUUCAAGAAGUUGUUUAAAACCGAAUUAGUGGAUCUUAUUCCGGAGAGAACAACUUUUUGAAACUUUAAAAAAUGAAUCAAUAAUGAUCAAACUGUGGAAUUGUAUAGAGUUAAGCAUCAUAUUUAUAGAGUCAAUUCAAAACCUCUAGUAACAGCACAAAGUUAAUGCUCACACCCAGUCCAAACCAAUGCCUUUC
RNAcentral lists this long non-coding RNA (201 nucleotides) under Vigna radiata. RNAcentral describes it as "long non-coding RNA (VRAD_LNC008011)". The record is from RNAcentral. Lineage: Eukaryota; Viridiplantae; Streptophyta; Magnoliopsida; Fabales; Fabaceae.